Molecule: long non-coding RNA, 1188 nt
Filed under: Setaria viridis
Lineage: Eukaryota; Viridiplantae; Streptophyta; Magnoliopsida; Poales; Poaceae
Description: long non-coding RNA (SVIR_LNC010945)
Source: RNAcentral
CAGUAUAUGUGCUAUGGUAUUACUUGUGUUGUGCAAAUUUAGACAGCUCAAAUUUGGCUCACAUAGAAAUAAACUAGAUAUUUAUGUAUUCAUAAUGCUUAACUGGUUUAUGAAGGUUCAUGCACAGUGGUACCGUCAAGGAUGUUCUUGUGUUGGACCAAAAUAGAUGAUAGAAGGCACCGAAAACAUCGAAGCCUACUGACUUUAAUAGCCCAAAUCAUAUUAUUCCAUAGUCAAUCAUGUUUUGUGAUUCUCUUAUUGCGCUGAAAUUUUUUGGCACGGCAAUCCACGGGCAAAAUCCUAGUACAAAAUAAAAACAAUUAGGUAUAGCCAUGUGUUGACAACGUAUUGAAACGGGUUGCUCACUGCUAUAUCCUACUUGGCUAAAGUAUAACCGAAACUAGCCCACACCAAAUCCAGCCUACACGGUCUAACCCAUGACUAAUUUUCUUCCACCAUCAUACCAUCUCAUGUCAUCCCACUACCGUUAGCCACCCCUGUCCGAUCACUAGCUCCUCCACUGCCGCUGCUGUUUCCCACUACGGCUCCUGUUUUUGCAUCAUACGACUGUCGAUGAAGCGUCGCCUCACCACUCCACCCUCUACCACUUGCCUUCUAGUACUGCAUGCACUAAUUGAGGCAGUUGAUCACUCCUACAGCUUACCCCUCCCAUACUGGUUAUCCUCCACUACCGACCAACAGUGCCCACCAUCACAUCUCGCUUGCUGCUGCUCACCACCUUUGCCAGCUUGAUGAUCAGUUGAUCACCUAGUAAGCCGUCCUUUUCACAACCCUUCCUAACCUAACACUCAAACCAAACCCAAUGACCGGGGUUUAAACUACUGGAGAGCAACUCAUACAUACUUGCUCUAAAACCUCAUCCGUGACGGUUAUCAGAAUGUCUCAGUGAAGCUGACGCAGAUACUCGUUGUAUCUGUGUCGAUGCUUAUACAAGUCAGCAAUAGUUGAAACAAGAAAUUGCAAAUGAAAAGAGCAAAACAAAUAAUUUUCAGGCCAGGAGGGCCACCCUAAGCUACCCUCACGUUCCCAUUUUUCAUGUUCGUACGGUACAAAGCCUUAGAACUCACAAUUUUCGUAUAAAGUUUAUCUCCAUCCAGAUCCGUAUGCAAAAUUUACCAAUUUAUGAACACAACCUGAACUUCAAAUUGCAAAGGUGGAAAAUUGUCC